Molecule: non-coding RNA, 71 nt
Organism: Danionella cerebrum
Lineage: Eukaryota; Metazoa; Chordata; Actinopteri; Cypriniformes; Danionidae
Source: the annotation of a GenBank genome assembly
GACCCCUGGUCUAGAGGUAUGAUUCUCGCUUUGAGUACAAAAGAUCCUGGGUUCAAAUCCCGGAUGAGCCC